This 490-nucleotide ribosomal RNA is filed under the name uncultured bacterium. Its description in RNAcentral is "partial 16S ribosomal RNA". It matches the Rfam family "Bacterial small subunit ribosomal RNA", at positions 28 to 507 of the family's 1533-position model. The record is from RNAcentral.
GAUGAACGCUAGCUACAGGCUUAACACAUGCAAGUCGCGGGGCAGCAUGGGGGUUGCUUGCAAUCCCCGAUGGCGACCGGCGCACGGGUGAGUAACGCGUAUCCAACCUGCCCUUCACCACGGGAUAACCCGGCGAAAGUCGGACUAAUACCGUAUGUUGUCCAUUGACGGCAUCCGAUUUGGACGAAAGGUUUGGCGGUGAAGGAUGGGGAUGCGUCCGAUUAGCUGGACGGCGGGGUGACGGCCCACCGGGGCGACGAUCGGUAGGGGUUCUGAGAGGUAGGUCCCCCACACGGGAACUGGGACACGGACCAGACUCCUACGGGAGGCAGCAGUGAGGAAUAUUGGUCAAUGGGCGUAAGCCUGAACCAGCCAAGUAGCGUGCAGGAUGACGGCCCUAUGGGUUGUAAACUGCUUUUAUGCGGGGAUAAAGUGGCCCACGUGUGGGUUUUUGCAGGUACCGCAUGAAUAAGGACCGGCUAAUUCCGUG